Molecule: transfer RNA, 17 nt
Filed under: Acacia riceana
Lineage: Eukaryota; Viridiplantae; Streptophyta; Magnoliopsida; Fabales; Fabaceae
Description: partial tRNA-Leu
Source: RNAcentral
AAAAUCCGUCGACUUUC